Molecule: ribosomal RNA, 496 nt
Filed under: uncultured bacterium
Lineage: Bacteria
Description: partial 16S ribosomal RNA
Rfam family: Bacterial small subunit ribosomal RNA
Source: RNAcentral
AUGAACGCUGGCGGCGUGCCUAAUACAUGCCAGUCGAGCGAACAGAUGAGGAGCUUGCUCCUCUGACGUUAGCGGCGGACGGGUGAGUAACACGUGGAUAACCUACCUAUAAGACUGGGAUAACUUCGGGAAACCGGAGCUAAUACCGGAUAAUAUAUUGAACCGCAUGGUUCAAUAGUGAAAGACGGUUUUGCUGUCACUUAUAGAUGGAUCCGCGCCGCAUUAGCUAGUUGGUAAGGUAACGGCUUACCAAGGCAACGAUGCGUAGCCGACCUGAGAGGGUGAUCGGCCACACUGGAACUGAGACACGGUCCAGACUCCUACGGGAGGCAGCAGUAGGGAAUCUUCCGCAAUGGGCGAAAGCCUGACGGAGCAACGCCGCGUGAGUGAUGAAGGUCUUCGGAUCGUAAAACUCUGUUAUUAGGGAAGAACAAAUGUGUAAGUAACUAUGCACGUCUUGACGGUACCUAAUCAGAAAGCCACGGCUAACUACGUG